CUUGGUGACCAUAGCGAGGGGGUCACACCUGUACCCAUUCCGAACACAGAAGUUAAGCCCCUCUGCGCCGAUGGUACUGUUCUACGGGAGAGUAGGUCGUUGCCAGGC
This 108-nucleotide ribosomal RNA is filed under the name Planctomycetota bacterium. Lineage: Bacteria; Pseudomonadati; Planctomycetota. The record is from RNAcentral.